Molecule: long non-coding RNA, 695 nt
Organism: Corticium candelabrum
Lineage: Eukaryota; Metazoa; Porifera; Homoscleromorpha; Homosclerophorida; Plakinidae
Exons: 4
Source: RefSeq, a predicted model, not a curated record
GGCGGUGUCUGACUGGCAGACCUCUGAAUCUCAGUCUGGUGGUCAUACAGUUGCCGACAUGCGAAUAUUCGACUUUCCCAAAGAGCUAUGCGACUCCCGUCUCAAACCAGACUUGUUCUCAAAUCUUUUCUUGUUGCACGAGCCCAUGCAGUGAGAAUGAGAGAUGAGCUGGACAGGAUCCUCUGUCCUAGGACAGAGCACGAGGAUUACCCAGAGUCUCUAGUAGAGACCAGCAGUCAAGCCCCGUGGAGAUAGAGGAGAGUGUGGAGCUUCAGCUCCUUUAUUAAGACUGCAAUGACCUGCUGGUCGUCAGGGACCGACUGAGUGCUCAGCCCAGCUGGCGAACAAGGAUUGGCCGGUCCAUCAGGAGCCUCGAGCCUUCAAGGAUAGAAGAGAUGUUAGGAUGCAUUGGGAAUGGAUGGAUGGAAUAUUACCUGGUCGACGUGGAGAACCUGAUGCUACUGAUUUGAUGUACCGGCAGGAGACGAAGGUUUUCCGUAUGAAUGUGGACCACAUAGAACUCCAUGUCCAGCGGAACCAGUUGGACCAACAGGAUGUGACGAAAGUCGUGGAGAUUGUAGAGAAUGUGGAGCACAGGGAGAUGGGAGAGCAGCAGGAGUGUCAGGACAAACUGGAGCAGAAGGCAUUGCAGGACUCGAGGCCCAUAAGGUACAUGUGGUGAGCAUGGACAACUC